This 300-nucleotide ribosomal RNA is filed under the name uncultured Ambisporaceae. Its description in RNAcentral is "SSU rRNA". It matches the Rfam family "Eukaryotic small subunit ribosomal RNA", at positions 569 to 865 of the family's 1831-position model. Lineage: Eukaryota; Fungi; Glomeromycota; Glomeromycetes; Archaeosporales; Ambisporaceae. The record is from RNAcentral.
AGCAGCCGCGGUAAUUCCAGCUCCAAUAGCGUAUAUUAAAGUUGUUGCAGUUAAAAAGCUCGUAGUCGAACUUCGGGUCUGGCCGGGCGGUCCAUCCUUUCGGGUGCGCACUGCUCACGGGCCGGUCCUUUCCUUCUGGGGAACCGCUUCGACGCCUUUGCGGGCGCCGUUGCCGGGGAGCCAGGACGUUUACCUUGAAAAAAUUAGAGUGUUCAAAGCGGGCAUAUGCUCGAAUAGAUUAGCAUGGAAUAAUGGAAUAGGACCUUGGUCUUAUUUUGUUGGUUUUCGAAGGCCACGGUA